CAGUAGCCCGGGAAUACGAAGGGUGCAAGCGUUAAUCGGAAUUACUGGGCGUAAGGCGUGCGCAGGCGGUUGUGUAAGACAGGUGUGAAAUCCCCGGGCUUAACCUGGGAACUGCGCUUGUGACUGCACAGCUAGAGUAUGGCAGAGGGGGGUGGAAUUCCACGUGUAGCAGUGAAGUGCGUAGAGAUGUGGAGGAACACCGAUGGCGAAGGCAGCCCCCUGGGCCAAUACUGACGCUCAUGCACGAAAGCGUGGGGAGCAAACAGGAUUAGAUACCCGCGUAGUCCCUGUCUCUUAUACC
This 301-nucleotide ribosomal RNA is filed under the name uncultured bacterium. Its description in RNAcentral is "partial 16S ribosomal RNA". It matches the Rfam family "Bacterial small subunit ribosomal RNA", at positions 509 to 808 of the family's 1533-position model. The record is from RNAcentral.